GAAAGUGACAAAUUUCCAAGAUGCUUAUGUUUGGUUGGCCAUCCACUUUCCUAGGAAAGUUAUAUAUAAUUCCUAUUAUGCCCUUAAUAAAAAUUAGGUUUUUAAUGCCUCUUUAAUGCUUCUUUAAUGCUGAAGGGACUUUUUGGGAAAAAGUAAAAAUUGAGUGAUUCCCGUCUCAUGGGAAAGUAACUUUCCCAUGUUUCUCAUGGGAAAGACUUUCCCAUGAAAUGUGGGAAUCACAUUCCCAUGGGAAUACAACUUUCCCUUCUCUCUCCUUUGAAAACUCCAACCAAACAAGAGGCAUCUCAUUACUUUCCCGUUGACCACACUUUCCCCCUUCUUUUCCCGCGAACCAGACGAG
RNAcentral lists this long non-coding RNA (361 nucleotides) under Phoenix dactylifera (date palm). Its description in RNAcentral is "long non-coding RNA (PDAC_LNC021112)". The record is from RNAcentral. Lineage: Eukaryota; Viridiplantae; Streptophyta; Magnoliopsida; Arecales; Arecaceae.